RNAcentral lists this transfer RNA (76 nucleotides) under Candidatus Saccharimonadota bacterium. RNAcentral's name for it is "tRNA-Val". It matches the Rfam family "tRNA". Rfam says of the family: Transfer RNA (tRNA) molecules are approximately 80 nucleotides in length. Their secondary structure includes four short double-helical elements and three loops (D, anti-codon, and T loops). The record is from RNAcentral. Lineage: Bacteria; Candidatus Saccharimonadota.
GGGGAUAUAACUCAGUGGCUAGAGUGCUUGCAUCACACGCAAGAAGUCGCAGGUUCGAGUCCUGCUAUCCCCACCA